AUACGGAGGGUGCAAGCGUUAUUCGGAAUCACUGGGCGUAAAGGACGCGUAGGCGGGUUGGCAAGUCAGAUGUGAAAUCCUACAGCUUAACUGUAGAACUGCAUUUGAAACUGCUAACCUAGAGUAUGGGAGGGGGAGAUGGAAUUAGUGGUGUAGGGGUAAAAUCCGUAGAUAUCACUAGGAAUACCGAAAGCGAAGGCGAUCUCCUGGAACAUAACUGACGCUGAGGUGCGAAAGCAUGGGGAGCAAACAGGAUUAGAGACCCGAGUAGUCC
Molecule: ribosomal RNA, 274 nt
Filed under: uncultured bacterium
Lineage: Bacteria
Description: partial 16S ribosomal RNA
Rfam family: Bacterial small subunit ribosomal RNA
Source: RNAcentral